UACGUAGGGUCCGAGCGUUGUCCGGAAUUACUGGGCGUAAAGGGCUCGUAGGUGGCCAACUAAGUCAUACGUGAAAUCCCUCGGCUUAACCGGGGAACUGCGUCUGAUACUGGAUGGCUUGAGGUUGGGAGAGGGAUGCGGAAUUCCAGGUGUAGCGGUGAAAUGCGUAGAUAUCUGGAGGAACACCGGUGGCGAAGGCGGCAUCCUGGACCAAUUCUGACACUGAGGAGCGAAAGCCAGGGGAGCAAACGGG
Molecule: ribosomal RNA, 253 nt
Filed under: uncultured bacterium
Lineage: Bacteria
Description: partial 16S ribosomal RNA
Rfam family: Bacterial small subunit ribosomal RNA
Source: RNAcentral